Drosophila montana is the source of this 1198-nucleotide long non-coding RNA. RefSeq lists it as uncharacterized. The transcript is spliced from 3 exons. The record is from RefSeq and is a predicted model, not a curated record. Lineage: Eukaryota; Metazoa; Arthropoda; Insecta; Diptera; Drosophilidae.
GUCAGUCAUUUAGUAAGUCCGUCAGUACAAAUAGUUUCAUAUAUAGAGAUAUAUGUAUAAUUUCCUGUUUCUCAACAUUUGUAUGACAAAAUUGCUCGACAAAUUCGUAUCUAGAAAAAAGAUCGUAUUUAACAAAUGUUAGACCAAAGCCUAGGAGUUGGCCAAGAAUUAAUCUGACCAGAGCAAAAACAAUGGGCAAACAACAAAUUGUAAGGCACGAAAUACCAAUUGUUCAAAAAUAAGGUAUUUUCAUCGGAAUUAUGGAGAUAUAUUAAACAAGAUAAUAACUAAGCUUUUCCAUAUAGUAAUGGAAUAUACAUGGAUCACCGCGAAUAUAUAAACAUAAAAGUACAAAUUAUGUGCGAAGAUGAUUAUAAAAUCUAUUUAAUCAGAUGAUGAACUUAACACUUGACACAAUUUCAAUUUGGCUUCGAUUUCACUUUGCAUCAAGUACUUCUAGGACAAUGGCAAAAUGCAAAUACAAAUUAAUUCGAAAAAAAUGAUACAAAAGCUAAAGCGGCGCUGCGUCGCCUGCAGCAGCCGUAUUCCAUAAAACAGCAACAAGAAAAAGAACAACGACAAAAACAACAACAUGCUGCGCUGUUAGCUAGCAAACUGAGAAGUGAACUUGUCGUUGUCCUCGUCGUUGUCGCCAUCGCCGUCGUCCUCGUUGUCGUCAAUAAGUCAAAAGUUGGAAUUUCAUUAUGCCAGCCUAAAAGUAGGCAACGCAUUUGGCAGACAAACAGCCACAAAACUCAGCGUCACGCGGCGGAUGGCGGAUGGCUGAUGGCAACUGAAACUGAAACCAAACGCUGUGCCAUUGGCUGUCCUGCUGCACACCACCCCAUCCACCACCGGAGCCAGCGCAUGGCCUGCGUCCAGCCCCGCCCACUGCCCGUUUUGAGCGACAGCAUACUCGGCAAAUUUGUCAUUUUGCCAAAUGUCUAGCGGCUUGAGUUGCUGUACAACCGCAACGACUCUGAGGCGGAUUGCGAAUCAGUUCGCGACGGCAACAAAAAAUCAACUGCUCGCUGAGAAGUAAAUAUACUUGAAUAGUGGAAGACACACUCAAAACAAACGCACAUCGAAAAAUACUCUGGAACCAACUUGAUUUUAAUGCCUCAAUUAUUGAGUAAAUGAUUUAAUAUAUUAACUGAAUUCAAAUAUAUAUCGCUACUAAUGCUGAUCUUCAGUUCUA